CCUACGGGAGGCAGCAGUGGGGAAUAUUGGACAAUGGGCGCAAGCCUGAUCCAGCCAUGCCGCGUGAAUGAUGAAGGCCUUAGGGUUGUAAAAUUCUUUCGCUAGGGAUGAUAAUGACAGUACCUAG
Molecule: ribosomal RNA, 127 nt
Filed under: uncultured bacterium
Lineage: Bacteria
Description: partial 16S ribosomal RNA
Rfam family: Bacterial small subunit ribosomal RNA
Source: RNAcentral